RNAcentral lists this ribosomal RNA (460 nucleotides) under uncultured bacterium. Its description in RNAcentral is "bacterial SSU rRNA". It matches the Rfam family "Bacterial small subunit ribosomal RNA", at positions 36 to 507 of the family's 1533-position model. The record is from RNAcentral.
CUGGCGGCGUGCCUAAUACAUGCAAGUCGAGCGAAUUUCAAGGGGCUUGCCCCUUGAGGUUAGCGCGGACGGGUGAGUAACACGUGGGCAACCUGCCUGUAAGACUGGGAUAACACCGGAAACCGGUGCUAAUACCGGAUAAUUCUUCGCCUCACAUGAGGUGAAGCUGAAAGUCGGUUUCGGCUGACACUUACAGAUGGGCCCGCGGCGCAUUAGCUAGUUGGUGAGGUAACGGCUCACCAAGGCGACGAUGCGUAGCCGACCUGAGAGGGUGAUCGGCCACAUUGGGACUGAGACACGGCCCAGACUCCUACGGGAGGCAGCAGUGGGGAUAUUGCGCAAUGGGGGCAACCCUGACGCAGCAACGCCGCGUGAAGGAUGAAGGUUUUCGGAUUGUAAACUCCUGUUGUUGAGGAAGAUAAUGACGGUACUCAACAAGGAAGUGACGGCUAACUACGUG